This is a long non-coding RNA of Sebastes umbrosus (honeycomb rockfish), 190 nucleotides long. RefSeq lists it as uncharacterized. NCBI's taxonomy places the organism in Eukaryota, Metazoa, Chordata, Actinopteri, Perciformes, Sebastidae. The record is from RefSeq and is a predicted model, not a curated record. The transcript has 3 exons.
GACCAAAGUUUGUCUAGCUAGCAAUGCACCAAUCCAACUUCUUCAGUCCAGAUACAGAUAUACAGAUACCUGGGCUCUGGGUAUCGGCCGAUACCGAGUACCGAUCCGAUACCAGUGUUUAAUCAAUAAGCUGUAUGCGUCACAGUGUGGAAGUGACUGAGAUCAUUCUGUUAUGUGUAAGGCAACAUCA